UACGUAGGUGGCGAGCGUUGUCCGGAAUUACUGGGUGUAAAGGGCGUGUAGGCGGGGAUGUAAGUCAGAUGUGAAAUUCCACGGCUUAACUGUGGCGCUGCAUCUGAAACUAUGUCUCUUGAGUGCUGGAGAGGAAAGCGGAAUUCCAAGUGUAGCGGUGAAAUGCGUAGAUAUUUGGAGGAACACCAGUGGCGAAGGCGGCUUUCUGGACAGUAACUGACGCUGAGGCGCGAAAGCGUGGGGAG
This 245-nucleotide ribosomal RNA is filed under the name uncultured bacterium. RNAcentral describes it as "partial 16S ribosomal RNA". It matches the Rfam family "Bacterial small subunit ribosomal RNA", at positions 524 to 768 of the family's 1533-position model. The record is from RNAcentral.